GCCUACCAUUGAUAAUGGGAGAAAGAUGUGAUGUAAUUUACUGGCACUCUUGUGCUCCGAGAGACGCCGAAGAGGAGCGAGCCUCCUUCCCCCGCGUGACGAUCCAGAGUGGCACCAUGUUGAGGAGGCUGGCAAUGGGAUAAGGCACGUCCGAACAUGCUGCUUCUUCUCCGGCUCCUUCCCAAAUGUGUCCCCCGACGGUGCGUUUGUGAGCCACUCGGAUGCGUGUCCUACAUUUAGAGCGCACUUGGUCAUGAACUGAGAACCAUCUCCAGAGCAAAUGUCGGACGCCACGUUGUAGAGAGGAUCGUCGGGACGCUCGUGGACGACAAACACAGGAACAAAAUGGUGGUCGUGCCUGGGGGCAUGGUAAUAGGUGUCCAAAAGCACCUGGAGGCGGCUGUGACCGGGUAACAGUCGCACCUCGAUGACAUCGGAGGACGCCUCUUUCAUGGCGACCGACGACAGCUUUGUCGCGUUGAUGGCCGUCCCUGUGAACGAGGGCGCAGAAUGGACGCCAGGCUCCUUGCGAGCAAAACGCUUUGUGGCGGCCUCUGCUCACCGUUGACCGGCUCCGUUCUGCCUUGGACUGCCAGUCCUUUCCCGGCCGACGUCAACAAUCUGUACUCGCCUUUGCCAUUGAAGGAGUAGCGCGCCCCGUCGAAAGUUAUAAAGUGUGGAUCUCCAAACACCACGGCUACGAGACGCAUCCCGUGGUUAGUGUUGAUCUGACACAGCUAGUGGAUGAUGGUGAAAUAAAUACCAGAGUUGGGAGGUUGAUAGCGCCGACAGUCGCUGGAGGGCCGGUGUUUGAAGUAAUAGUAGCAGUUGUCGGACCAGAGGCAGCAGUAGUAGAAGCUGAGGACGUCGUAGACCCAGUGGGACUGUCCGGGGACCCUUGGGGGCUUCCUGUAAGGAGGCGAACCCCAAUCGUGGGCUCGGUCUGGCGUGCUGCCGCCUAUGGAGUCUGCGGUCAGCACCUGAGCGCCACUGCUGUCGUAGCAACACUGCUGCCCGGCUGCAUACUUGGGACUGCAGCAAGGAAACAUGAGGAGGACAUUCUGAAUGUAGACUUCCACCAAGGCGGGGCAAUCCAAAUAUGGAUGAACAGCAAAGCGUUCACUCAAUCCUGCCUGAAUGUUCUUCAUAU
Nerophis ophidion (straightnose pipefish) is the source of this 1150-nucleotide long non-coding RNA. RefSeq lists it as uncharacterized. Lineage: Eukaryota; Metazoa; Chordata; Actinopteri; Syngnathiformes; Syngnathidae. The transcript is spliced from 3 exons. The record is from RefSeq and is a predicted model, not a curated record.